GCUGUAUUGUUGAUAUGAAUUUUUUAGACUCAAAAAGAUUCGAGAUUGUAAACUUAAUUAGAAGUAUGGGAUGAAAAUUCAUCUACACAGCGGAAGCCCCAAUGUUUAUGAAGUUAGUUAAAGAGUUUUAUGAGCAUAUUUUAUUUAAAGAAGAAACAGUAUUAUCUUCGGUGAAAGAAAAAAAAUUUAUUUUGAUGAUAAAAUACUAGGAAAAGAAAGGAAAGAAACAGUAUCAUCUUCGAAUCCUCC
This 249-nucleotide long non-coding RNA is filed under the name Elaeis guineensis (African oil palm). RNAcentral's name for it is "long non-coding RNA (EGUI_LNC009192)". Lineage: Eukaryota; Viridiplantae; Streptophyta; Magnoliopsida; Arecales; Arecaceae. The record is from RNAcentral.